RNAcentral lists this transfer RNA (61 nucleotides) under Dipodomys ordii (Ord's kangaroo rat). It matches the Rfam family "tRNA", at positions 6 to 65 of the family's 71-position model. Rfam says of the family: Transfer RNA (tRNA) molecules are approximately 80 nucleotides in length. Lineage: Eukaryota; Metazoa; Chordata; Mammalia; Rodentia; Heteromyidae. The record is from Rfam by way of RNAcentral.
UGUAGCUCAGUGGUAGAGCACUUACCUAGCAUGUGUAAGACCGUGGGUUCAAUCCCUACUA